UACAGAGGUCUCAAGCGUUGUUCGGAUUCAUUGGGCGUAAAGGGUGCGUAGGCGGCGCGGUAAGUCGGGUGUGAAAUCUUGGAGCUUAACUCCGAAACUGCAUUCGAUACUGCCGUGCUUGAGGACUGGAGAGGAGACUGGAAUUUACGGUGUAGCGGUGAAAUGCGUAGAUAUCGUAAGGAAGACCAGUGGCGAAGGCGGGUCUCUGGACAGUUCCUGACGCUGAGACACGAAAGCCAGGGGAGCGAACGGG
RNAcentral lists this ribosomal RNA (253 nucleotides) under uncultured bacterium. Its description in RNAcentral is "partial 16S ribosomal RNA". It matches the Rfam family "Bacterial small subunit ribosomal RNA", at positions 524 to 776 of the family's 1533-position model. The record is from RNAcentral.